UUUCGUUAAAAGUGAAAGGUUAAACCCUGAUCUUGAAUAGCAAUAUUAUAUUUAGAUUCUAUUACUAAACAACAUGGCCAAACUCGUGAGAGAGCCACACUACACGACUUGCAGUAUUUCACUUCGUUUUGCAUAAUUAUUUUAUGAGCUUUGGAAUAUUUCAUUUUGUGCAAAAUGAUUCUGGUCCGUCCUAAGCCUGAAAUUCUCUCCACAGCAACUACAGAGCGUGCUGGAAUAGAAUAUGCAAAGUCCGCCUCUGCUGCUGAACUGGAAUAACUGCAGUUGGAAGGCAUAAAAAUACUGUGAAAAGUUCGGCCAAGCAAACAGUUCUUCCGAGUUCUCCAAUGUAGCUUAUAACUUGGCAACGAAAGCGGCAUCAAACCACCCCUUGCGACUGGCCUGCAUUACUUGGACCGUCAUAUCACUGUAACAUCUGUUGUCUCGCGUAAUGGUCUGACACACUUUACGUUUUGGUGUUUGUCACAAUGGGGCUUGAGUGUAUUGUUAGUUUAUGUAAACAUAUGGAUAACUGUUACAUGGCCUCAUUAGCUGUCUGUCACACUGUCUCACCAAUAGACAUACAUGAGCUUAUGACAAGAAAAAUGCACGUAUGUCACCUAGUUUUUCCCUCUCCGUAGCCUCGUCGUACCUU
Actinia tenebrosa (Australian red waratah sea anemone) is the source of this 652-nucleotide long non-coding RNA. The record is from RefSeq and is a predicted model, not a curated record. Lineage: Eukaryota; Metazoa; Cnidaria; Anthozoa; Actiniaria; Actiniidae.